This 435-nucleotide ribosomal RNA is filed under the name uncultured bacterium. RNAcentral describes it as "partial 16S ribosomal RNA". It matches the Rfam family "Bacterial small subunit ribosomal RNA", at positions 29 to 507 of the family's 1533-position model. The record is from RNAcentral.
AGCGAACGCUGGCGGCAGGCUUAACACAUGCAAGUCGAGCGGGCACCUUCGGGUUUCAGCGGCAGACGGGUGAGUAACACGUGGGAACGUACCCUUCGGUUCGGAAUAACGCUGGGAAACUAGCGCUAAUACCGGAUACGCCCUUAUGGGGAAAGGUUUACUGCGGAAGGAUCGGCCCGAGUCGGAUUAGCCAGAUGGUGGGGUAACGGCCUACCAAGGCGACGAUCAGUAGCUGGGCUGAGAGGAUGAUCAGCGACACUGGGACUGAGACACGGCGCAGACUCCUACGGGAGGCAGCAGUGGGGAAUAUUGGACAAUGGGCGCAAGCCUGAUGCAGCCAGGACGGGUGAGUGAUGAAGGUCUUAGGGUUGUAAAGCUCUUUUGUCCGGGACGAUAAUGACGGUACCGGAAGAAUAAGCCCCGGCUAACUUCGUG